RNAcentral lists this ribosomal RNA (465 nucleotides) under uncultured bacterium. RNAcentral describes it as "bacterial SSU rRNA". It matches the Rfam family "Bacterial small subunit ribosomal RNA", at positions 338 to 795 of the family's 1533-position model. The record is from RNAcentral.
CCUACGGGGCGCACCAGUGGGGAAUAUUGCACAAUGGGCGCAAGCCUGAUGCAGCCAUGCCGCGUGUAUGAAGAAGGCCUUCGGGUUGUAAAGUACUUUCAGCGGGGAGGAAGGUGUUGUGGUUAAUAACCACAACAAUUGACAUUACCCGCAGAAGAAGCACCGGCUAACUCCGUGCCAGCAGCCGCGGUAAUACGGAGGGUGCAAGCGUUAAUCGGAAUUACUGGGCGUAAAGCGCACGCAGGCGGUCUGUCAAGUCGGAUGUGAAAUCCCCGGGCUCAACCUGGGAACUGCAUUCGAAACUGGCAGGCUAGAGUCUUGUAGAGGGGGGUAGAAUUCCAGGUGUAGCGGUGAGAUGCGUAGAGAUCUGGAGGAAUACCGGUGGCGAAGGCGGCCCCCUGGACAAAGACUGACGCUCAGGUGCGAAAGCGUGGGGAGCAAACAGGAUUAGAUACCCCUGUAGUC